This 934-nucleotide ribosomal RNA is filed under the name Escherichia coli. Its description in RNAcentral is "partial 23S ribosomal RNA". It matches the Rfam family "Bacterial large subunit ribosomal RNA", at positions 612 to 1549 of the family's 2925-position model. Lineage: Bacteria; Pseudomonadati; Pseudomonadota; Gammaproteobacteria; Enterobacterales; Enterobacteriaceae. The record is from RNAcentral.
AUAAUGGGUCAGCGACUUAUAUUCUGUAGCAAGGUUAACCGAAUAGGGGAGCCGAAGGGAAACCGAGUCUUAACUGGGCGUUAAGUUGCAGGGUAUAGACCCGAAACCCGGUGAUCUAGCCAUGGGCAGGUUGAAGGUUGGGUAACACUAACUGGAGGACCGAACCGACUAAUGUUGAAAAAUUAGCGGAUGACUUGUGGCUGGGGGUGAAAGGCCAAUCAAACCGGGAGAUAGCUGGUUCUCCCCGAAAGCUAUUUAGGUAGCGCCUCGUGAAUUCAUCUCCGGGGGUAGAGCACUGUUUCGGCAAGGGGGUCAUCCCGACUUACCAACCCGAUGCAAACUGCGAAUACCGGAGAAUGUUAUCACGGGAGACACACGGCGGGUGCUAACGUCCGUCGUGAAGAGGGAAACAACCCAGACCGCCAGCUAAGGUCCCAAAGUCAUGGUUAAGUGGGAAACGAUGUGGGAAGGCCCAGACAGCCAGGAUGUUGGCUUAGAAGCAGCCAUCAUUUAAAGAAAGCGUAAUAGCUCACUGGUCGAGUCGGCCUGCGCGGAAGAUGUAACGGGGCUAAACCAUGCACCGAAGCUGCGGCAGCGACGCUGAUGCGUUGUUGGGUAGGGGAGCGUUCUGUAAGCCUGUGAAGGUGUGCUGUGAGGCAUGCUGGAGGUAUCAGAAGUGCGAAUGCUGACAUAAGUAACGAUAAAGCGGGUGAAAAGCCCGCUCGCCGGAAGACCAAGGGUUCCUGUCCAACGUUAAUCGGGGCAGGGUGAGUCGACCCCUAAGGCGAGGCCGAAAGGCGUAGUCGAUGGGAAACAGGUUAAUAUUCCUGUACUUGGUGUUACUGCGAAGGGGGGACGGAGAAGGCUAUGUUGGCCGGGCGACGGUUGUCCCGGUUUAAGCGUGUAGGCUGGUUUUCCAGGCAAAUCCGGAAAA